This 30-nucleotide non-coding RNA is filed under the name Mus musculus (house mouse). Lineage: Eukaryota; Metazoa; Chordata; Mammalia; Rodentia; Muridae. The record is from RNAcentral.
UGCAAAGUGGUGUGAAUGAAGUGGUCCAUC